GGGUUGUGAGGUUAAGCGACUAAGCGUACACGGUGGAUGCCCUGGCAGUCAGAGGCGAUGAAGGACGUGCUAAUCUGCGAUAAGCGUCGGUAAGGUGAUAUGAACCGUUAUAACCGGCGAUUUCCGAAUGGGGAAACCCAGUGUGAUUCGUCACACUAUCAUUAACUGAAUCCAUAGGUUAAUGAGGCGAACCGGGGGAACUGAAACAUCUAAGUACCCCGAGGAAAAGAAAUCAACCGAGAUUCCCCCAGUAGCGGCGAGCGAACGGGGAGGAGCCCAGAGCCUGAAUCAGUGUGUGUGUUAGUGGAAGCGUCUGGAAAGGCGCGCGAUACAGGGUGACAGCCCCGUACACAAAAAUGCACAUGCUGUGAGCUCGAUGAGUAGGGCGGGACACGUGGUAUCCUGUCUGAAUAUGGGGGGACCAUCCUCCAAGGCUAAAUACUCCUGACUGACCGAUAGUGAACCAGUACCGUGAGGGAAAGGCGAAAAGAACCCCGGCGAGGGGAGUGAAAAAGAACCUGAAACCGUGUACGUACAAGCAGUGGGAGCACGCUUAGGCGUGUGACUGCGUACCUUUUGUAUAAUGGGUCAGCGACUUAUAUUCUGUAGCAAGGUUAACCGAAUAGGGGAGCCGAAGGGAAACCGAGUCUUAACUGGGCGUUAAGUUGCAGGGUAUAGACCCGAAACCCGGUGAUCUAGCCAUGGGCAGGUUGAAGGUUGGGUAACACUAACUGGAGGACCGAACCGACUAAUGUUGAAAAAUUAGCGGAUGACUUGUGGCUGGGGGUGAAAGGCCAAUCAAACCGGGAGAUAGCUGGUUCUCCCCGAAAGCUAUUUAGGUAGCGCCUCGUGAAUUCAUCUCCGGGGGUAGAGCACUGUUUCGGCAAGGGGGUCAUCCCGACUUACCAACCCGAUGCAAACUGCGAAUACCGGAGAAUGUUAUCACGGGAGACACACGGCGGGUGCUAACGUCCGUCGUGAAGAGGGAAACAACCCAGACCGCCAGCUAAGGUCCCAAAGUCAUGGUUAAGUGGGAAACGAUGUGGGAAGGCCCAGACAGCCAGGAUGUUGGCUUAGAAGCAGCCAUCAUUUAAAGAAAGCGUAAUAGCUCACUGGUCGAGUCGGCCUGCGCGGAAGAUGUAACGGGGCUAAACCAUGCACCGAAGCUGCGGCAGCGACACUAUGUGUUGUUGGGUAGGGGAGCGUUCUGUAAGCCUGUGAAGGUGUGCUGUGAGGCAUGCUGGAGGUAUCAGAAGUGCGAAUGCUGACAUAAGUAACGAUAAAGCGGGUGAAAAGCCCGCUCGCCGGAAGACCAAGGGUUCCUGUCCAACGUUAAUCGGGGCAGGGUGAGUCGACCCCUAAGGCGAGGCCGAAAGGCGUAGUCGAUGGGAAACAGGUUAAUAUUCCUGUACUUGGUGUUACUGCGAAGGGGGGACGGAGAAGGCUAUGUUGGCCGGGCGACGGUUGUCCCGGUUUAAGCGUGUAGGCUGGUUUUCCAGGCAAAUCCGGAAAAUCAAGGCUGAGGCGUGAUGACGAGGCACUACGGUGCUGAAGCAACAAAUGCCCUGCUUCCAGGAAAAGCCUCUAAGCAUCAGGUAACAUCAAAUCGUACCCCAAACCGACACAGGUGGUCAGGUAGAGAAUACCAAGGCGCUUGAGAGAACUCGGGUGAAGGAACUAGGCAAAAUGGUGCCGUAACUUCGGGAGAAGG
RNAcentral lists this ribosomal RNA (1711 nucleotides) under Escherichia coli. Its description in RNAcentral is "partial 23S ribosomal RNA". It matches the Rfam family "Bacterial large subunit ribosomal RNA", at positions 1 to 1746 of the family's 2925-position model. Lineage: Bacteria; Pseudomonadati; Pseudomonadota; Gammaproteobacteria; Enterobacterales; Enterobacteriaceae. The record is from RNAcentral.